Molecule: long non-coding RNA, 679 nt
Filed under: Prunus persica (peach)
Lineage: Eukaryota; Viridiplantae; Streptophyta; Magnoliopsida; Rosales; Rosaceae
Description: long non-coding RNA (PPER_LNC003298)
Source: RNAcentral
GCCAACAAUAUCUCACAUUUUCUUUAAUCAUUGCCUUUUUUUUUUUAGACAACUUCACAACAAUGUCUUCCUUGAGCUAAAAUGGAUUCCCAAUCAUGAGCUCCUCAAGCUCUAAACUAUGUAAGCCGGUAUCAACAAACUUUGUAUCAGACUCUACCUAGUUUGCUGCUUCUUCCAUGGUUGUUUCUAACUAAUGAUUUUUUUCCUUCUGAGAAUGUAAAGGUGAAAAUGUCUCACAUUGGAAAGUUGAUAAACUUAGCAAGGGAUUAUAAGGCCACCUCCAAGCCAGCAGGCCAAACCCAAAUUAUCCUAAAUUUUAGCCCAAUUUAUCUCCCAACCAAAGAAAAAUAUAUGGCUGAAUUUGGGAAAACCCAAAAGCUGGGCAGAAAACCAAUCAUGCUAUUUCUUGGACUGGAAAUUUUUUUGGUGGAGCCCACUGAGCCAUGACACAACCCACAUGCAAGGAGGCCCUGCAGCUGUUGUGUUGCAGAUGAUGUCGCGCGCUAGUGUUGCAGUGCUUUUUUUUUUUUUUUGGUUUUAUUCCAACAAUAACCCAAACCAACUAUCCAUAUUAAAUUCAAGCUAUUUUAACAAUUAAAAAAAGAUCCAACAGCUGAAAUUUACAUCCAACGGUCAAAAUAAUAUUUUAAAUUAAUCUAAAUCAUACCCAAUCUCAAAA